Long non-coding RNA from Oncorhynchus tshawytscha (Chinook salmon), 361 nucleotides. RefSeq lists it as uncharacterized. The record is from RefSeq and is a predicted model, not a curated record. The transcript has 3 exons. Lineage: Eukaryota; Metazoa; Chordata; Actinopteri; Salmoniformes; Salmonidae.
GGCUUUUUGCGUAACAAACCAACGUUUACAGAACAGAUUCUCUUUUUUUUAUGAGGCAGGACAUGGCACAUCCACAUUGCUGCUUUAGGGCUUUCUCUCAGGCCAAUAGAAUGUCAUUCCAUCAGCAGAGGAGAGCAGAGCAGAGAGGCUGUCACAGGAAUAUAUGGCACUCUCUGGUGGCCACAGAGGAAGUGAAUCUGAAGUCCAGAGAACAGACCUUUAUGGCUUCAGAGCCAGACUGACAGGGUGGACACUAACCACAAGGUUGGGAGUUCAAUCCCCUGCUGAAUCAUACCAAAGGGUGUAAAAAUGGAACCCGAUGCGUCUCUGCUUGGCACUCCACAUCGAGGAGCUAGAUUGA